RNAcentral lists this ribosomal RNA (253 nucleotides) under uncultured bacterium. Its description in RNAcentral is "partial 16S ribosomal RNA". It matches the Rfam family "Bacterial small subunit ribosomal RNA", at positions 524 to 776 of the family's 1533-position model. The record is from RNAcentral.
UACAGGGGGUGCAAACGUUGCUCGGAAUUAUUGGGCGUAAAGCGCGCGUAGGCGGCUACUUAAGUCGGAUGUGAAAGCCCUUGGCUCAACUGAGGAAGUGCACCCGAAACUGAGUGGCUUGAGUACUAAAGAGGUUAGUGGAAUUCCCAGUGUAGAGGUGAAAUUCGUAGAUAUUGGGAAGAACACCAGUGGCGAAGGCGGCUAACUGGUCCAGAUCUGACGCUGAGGUGCGAAAGCGUGGGGAGCAAACAGG